UACGGGGGGGGCAAGCGUUGUUCGGAAUUACUGGGCGUAAAGGGCUCGUAGGCGGCCAACUAAGUCAGACGUGAAAUCCCUCGGCUUAACCGGGGAACUGCAUCUGAUACUGGAUGGCUUGAGAUUGGGAGAGGGAUGCGGAAUUCCAGGUGUAGCGGUGAAAUGCGUAGAUAUCUGGAGGAACACCGGUGGCGAAGGCGGCAUCCUGGACCAACACUGACGCUGAGGAGCGAAAGCAUGGGGAGCGAACGGG
RNAcentral lists this ribosomal RNA (253 nucleotides) under uncultured bacterium. RNAcentral describes it as "partial 16S ribosomal RNA". It matches the Rfam family "Bacterial small subunit ribosomal RNA", at positions 524 to 776 of the family's 1533-position model. The record is from RNAcentral.